UAGGGAAUCUUUGGCAAUGGGGGCAACCCUGACCGAGCAACGCCGCGUGAGUGAAGAAGGUUUUCGGAUCGUAAAGCUCUGUUGUAAGUCAAGAACGAGUGUGAGAGUGGAAAGUUCACACUGUGACGGUAGCUUACCAGAAAGGGACGGCUAACUACGUGCCAGCAGCCGCGGUAAUACGUAGGUCCCGAGCGUUGUCCGGAUUUAUUGGGCGUAAAGCGAGCGCAGGCGGUUUGAUAAGUCUGAAGUUAAAGGCUGUGGCUCAACCAUAGUUCGCUUUGGAAACUGUCAAACUUGAGUGCAGAAGGGGAGAGUGGAAUUCCAUGUGUAGCGGUGAAAUGCGUAGAUAUAUGGAGGAACACCGGUGGCGAAAGCGGCUCUCUGGUCUGUAACUGACGCUGAGGCUCGAAAGCGUGGGGAGCGAACAGGAUUAGAUACCCUGGUAGUCCACGCCGUAAACGAUGAGUGCUAGGUGUUGGAUCCUUUCCGGGAUUCAGUGCCGCAGCUAACGCAUUAAGCACUCCGCCUGGGGAGUACGACCGCAAGGUUG
RNAcentral lists this ribosomal RNA (550 nucleotides) under uncultured bacterium. RNAcentral's name for it is "bacterial SSU rRNA". It matches the Rfam family "Bacterial small subunit ribosomal RNA", at positions 355 to 896 of the family's 1533-position model. The record is from RNAcentral.